AUACGAAGGGGGCAAGCGUUGUUCGGAAUAACUGGGCGUAAAGCGCACGUAGGCGGAAUGUUAAGUUAGAGGUGAAAUCCCAGGGCUCAACCCUGGAACGGCCUUUAAUACUGGCAAUCUAGAGACCGAGAGAGGUGGGUGGAAUUCCGAGUGUAGAGGUGAAAUUCGUAGAUAUUCGGAGGAACACCAGUGGCGAAGGCGGCUCACUGGCUCGGUACUGACGCUGAGGUGCGAAAGCGUGGGGAGCAAACAGGAUUAGAAACCCUAGUAGUCC
Molecule: ribosomal RNA, 274 nt
Filed under: uncultured bacterium
Lineage: Bacteria
Description: partial 16S ribosomal RNA
Rfam family: Bacterial small subunit ribosomal RNA
Source: RNAcentral